AAAAAGUGAAUAAAAUUAAAACUAAACAGUGAAAGAGUGCGCAAUUCGUGGGUUGAACCCACUACAAUUAUCCAUAGCGUAAUAGACGGUGAGACUACAUAAGCAUAGUCAAAGCAACCAAAGUACAUUUAUUACAUGAUAGUGAUAAGUUCAUACGUCUAAAACAGAAGGAAAUGUCAGACCUGCCGGGAUUCUUCGAGUGCCACAAAAAGUACGGUUAUCUAGGUCCUGGAGGGGCGAAAAACAAAGUUGAGUGGGUCAGCAAAACAAUGCUUAUAAGAGAACCUUUAUCUUUGAAUAUACUAACCCCUCGCCGUAAAAUAAGUAUAGUUUCCUCAAAACAGACUACGUAAGUAUGAAAUCCAAUAUAACAACAAUAUAAUCAGAAAUAUGCCAAGUAAAUGAUAUAUCAUAUGCCACAGUAAUAAUCUUGUGAUAAUCAAUAUAAUAAAGUGCUCAUCCAUAUAAGCUGACUAGGGGUGGGUUCGGUUCCGUUCGGUUCGGUUUUUUGCCAAAAUCGGAAACCAAACCGAAAUUAAUGUUCGGUUCGGUUCGGUUCGAUUUUCUAUCGGUUUGCUUUCGGUUCGGUUUCGGCCCGGUUCGGUUUUUUUUUUUUUUUUUUUUUUUUUUUUUUUUUUUUGUGUUUCCCAAUAGCAAAAAAAAAUUCUAAGAAAACAACUUGUAGCCAUUUUGUAAUACAUCUUCCAAAGGAGUAUAAAUAAAAUCAAAGUCCCAUUUCAACAUAAUUGAUAAAAUAAGCUAUUUGAUUUUGAUCUUUGAACUUGAGCUUGAGGCCCUUGAGACCUUUAACGCCUUUGACUUCAUCUAAUUCACACAAAAUAAUAAGAAGAUAGUAGUUAGUACUACAAACUUAUACAAAAGUAAAUGUUAAUUAAAAUCUGGAAGGCCAAUGAUACAAAAUCAAGACAAAAUCUGGAAGGCCAAUCAUCCUUUACAGUUUACAGCAAGACAAAAUCAAGUCUCCCAACAUUGAAUUACAACGCACCUAUUUAUAAUAACCUAAUCCUACAACUAUUCCACAACAACAAAGGCAAGAAUCAAACUGAUAUCGAAGAAAGGAAACAGGUUCAUGGUGCAUUGAACUAUACAAAACAAAUGCAGCAUAACCCAUUAUGCAUAAACAACAAAGUAUAAGUAUAAACAAAAUAUAUGAUUAGUCCCCUUGAUAAAUAGUAAUUAGUUCCAUAACUUCCUGAGACCUAUCAUUCUCCUUUUACAUGACUAUUACGCGGCUUGCAAUCCCAUUAUACAUAAACAACCAUCACACUAAAACCCAUCACAGAUGCGGCUUGCAAAUGCAAUCCCUUUUUUUCUUUCUACAACUAAAGGCUAAAGGGGCUCCACUCAACCAUACCUGUAUAUACUUCCAGAUAAUUAGAGCCAAAAGGUCCAAACAACCACAGAGAGCAAACAUUCAAACCAAACCUCUAAAACUAUAUAAGCCACGAUAUAUCUCUGUUACAUAAUCCAAUCAGAAAAAAAAAAUCACCAAACCUUAAUAACCCAGAGGAUGAAAACCCAACAAAAAUAGAGCCCUAAAAUAGUCAAGCUCUGAACCCCUUCAUUUCCCAUAAUUCCUCAACAACCAAACAUACUUCAAACCGAAACCGAAUAAUCACAUCCAGUCAAACACGUUAAAAAUAUAACCAUAAUCCUAAAAUCCCAAAACACAAAUCGAAUAAAAUCGCAAUACAAUUCACAAGAAGCAAAAUCAAAAUAUCCAAAAAAGACAGAAUAAAAUCAAUUACAAAACAAAUCAAAUUAAAAAAUAAAUCUAAACAAGAAGGGAAAAAAAUUAUAGGGGAUCAGAUCGGAAGAAAAGGAAUCGAACAGAAAAUUAAACUUCAGAGUGUGAGUGAGACUAACCUUUUGCUGUGAUUGAGAGUGAGAAGGGUCGCCGUUGGGAAUGAGAGAGAGCGUUUGAGAGAGUGAUUGAAUUGAAGACUGAGAGAGAGGAGGCUGCUGCGCAAAGAAGAAAGUAGCGAAGGGGAGAGAAAGUGUGUAGAAGAAAAGUGAAAACUAAAAUGGAAGUCAACUAGGGUUUGUAAACUUUAGAAAUUUUAUAAAGCCUAAAAUUAGAAUACCUAUAAAUAAAUUAGUUGUACAAUUAUAGCAACACAAAGCCAACAACAAGUUGGUAUGAAACAACUAUCCGAACUUAGAGGACAGGGGUUCGAAUCCUCAAGCCAUCAGGUUUUGAGGUAUUUGUAUAUGAUUUUCAUAUAUCGGUUCGGUUCGAUCCGGUCCGGUUUUUGGACCUCAAAAAUCGAAACUGAACCAACCAAAUUCGGUUCGGUUCAGUUUGACAGCUUCGGUUCGGUUUUUUUCGAUCUCGGUUCGGUUUUCGGUCCGGUUUUUUUUUUCGGUUUUUUAUUUUUCCAACCCACCCCUAAAGCUGACACACAAGUUUGAACAGAUAGUUUCUGACACGAACAUGACUGAGUGUAAUCAAUAUGCUCUAGUACUACGAUCACGUGAAGACUGGUGCAAAAGCACAUCACAUAUAAGUCGGAUUGCCUAGUGCAAUCUACCUGACAGGACUGGCACCUAAGCUUGGAUCCAAGGUGAGCAAACGGUACGGAUGUGAAUAUACACGUGAAGGACUGGCCCUGGCCCUGGCCCUAGGGCGAGUACUAACACCGGGUGCAGCAAGAUGAGCAUGUACAAAUAUAUAUGAAUGCCAUAACAGUAAUAUCACAACCAUAUAGCAGCAUUUUUCACAAUUUAUAUCACAAUAAUGAUACUAGGCAAUAUAAGCAUAAAAGUGAAGUACAUACGCAUUUAUGGAAACUAUAAAUAUAUAUAGGUAUAAAACAACUGCCUACUCACAAGUGUGUCGCUGGGUCGUAGCCUUCGAGCCUAGCUUGACCUCGAAAAUCCUCGAAAUAAGUUUCCCUUAUAUGUGAAAUAACUAAAAUACAUUAAUUAAAGCACAUAACAGAAACCUAAAUAAAACCCACAUAGUUUGCUCAAACCUAGGGUUUAAAUAUAUGAAAUCGAUCUACUCGACGACACGAACACACACGUGUCAACCACGCACCGACCAAAGUGG
This 3073-nucleotide long non-coding RNA is filed under the name Malus domestica (apple). RNAcentral describes it as "long non-coding RNA (MDOM_LNC016076)". The record is from RNAcentral. Lineage: Eukaryota; Viridiplantae; Streptophyta; Magnoliopsida; Rosales; Rosaceae.